This 429-nucleotide ribosomal RNA is filed under the name bacterium. RNAcentral describes it as "partial 16S ribosomal RNA". It matches the Rfam family "Bacterial small subunit ribosomal RNA", at positions 355 to 776 of the family's 1533-position model. The record is from RNAcentral.
UAGGGAAUCUUCGGCAAUGGGGGCAACCCUGACCGAGCAACGCCGCGUGAGUGAAGAAGGCUUUCGGAUCGUAAAGCUCUGUUGUAAGAGAAGAACGUGUGUGAGAGUGGAAAGUUCACACAGUGACGGUAACUUACCAGAAAGGGACGGCUAACUACGUGCCAGCAGCCGCGGUAAUACGUAGGUCCCGAGCGUUGUCCGGAUUUAUUGGGCGUAAAGCGAGCGCAGGCGGUUUAAUAAGUCUGAAGUUAAAGGCAGUGGCUUAACCAUUGUUCGCUUUGGAAACUGUUAAACUUUAGUGCAGAAGGGGAGAGUGGAAUUCCAUGUGUAGCGGUGAAAUGCGUAGGUAUAUGGAGGAACACCGGUGGCGAAAGCGGCUCUCUGGUCUGUAACUGACGCUGAGGCUCGAAAGCGUGGGGAGCAAACAGG